This 786-nucleotide ribosomal RNA is filed under the name uncultured Bacteroidota bacterium. Its description in RNAcentral is "bacterial SSU rRNA". It matches the Rfam family "Bacterial small subunit ribosomal RNA", at positions 546 to 1336 of the family's 1533-position model. The record is from RNAcentral. Lineage: Bacteria; Pseudomonadati; Bacteroidota.
CGGAUUUAUUGGGCGUAAAGCGAGCGCAGGCGGUUGCUUAGGUCUGAUGUGAAAGCCUUCGGCUUAACCGAAGAAGUGCAUCGGAAACCGGGCGACUUGAGUGCAGAAGGGGAGAGUGGAAUUCCAUGUGUAGCGGUGAAAUGCGUAGAUAUAUGGAGGAACACCGGUGGCGAAAGCGGCUCUCUGGUCUGUAACUGACGCUGAAGCUCGAAAGUGCGGGUAUCGAACAGGAUUAGAUACCCUGGUAGUCCGCACGGUAAACGAUGGAUGCCCGCUGUUGGUCUGAACAGGUCAGCGGCCAAGCGAAAGCAUUAAGCAUCCCACCUGGGGAGUACGCCGGCAACGGUGAAACUCAAAGGAAUUGACGGGGGCCCGCACAAGCGGAGGAACAUGUGGUUUAAUUCGAUGAUACGCGAGGAACCUUACCCGGGCUUGAAUUGCAGAGGAAGGAUUUGGAGACAAUGACGCCCUUCGGGGUCUCUGUGAAGGUGCUGCAUGGUUGUCGUCAGCUCGUGCCGUGAGGUGUCGGCUUAAGUGCCAUAACGAGCGCAACCCCUCUCCUUAGUUGCCAUCAGGUGAAGCUGGGCACUCUGGGGACACUGCCACCGUAAGGUGUGAGGAAGGUGGGGAUGACGUCAAAUCAGCACGGCCCUUACGUCCGGGGCUACACACGUGUUACAAUGGGUGAUACAGAGCGUCGGCUUGCCGCAAGGAGAGUCCAAUCGCGAAAGUCAUCCUCAGUUCGGACUGGGGUCUGCAACCCGACCCCACGAAGCUGGAUUCGCU